RNAcentral lists this ribosomal RNA (253 nucleotides) under uncultured bacterium. RNAcentral describes it as "partial 16S ribosomal RNA". It matches the Rfam family "Bacterial small subunit ribosomal RNA", at positions 524 to 776 of the family's 1533-position model. The record is from RNAcentral.
UACGAAGGGGGCUAGCGUUGCUCGGAAUCACUGGGCGUAAAGGGUGCGUAGGCGGGUCUUUAAGUCAGGGGUGAAAUCCUGGAGCUCAACUCCAGAACUGCCUUUGAUACUGAGGAUCUUGAGUACGGGAGAGGUGAGUGGAACUGCGAGUGUAGCGGUGAAAUGCGUAGAUAUCGAGAGGAACACCUGCGGCGAAGGCGGGUUGCUGGGCUGACACUGACGCUGAGGCGCGAAAGCGUGGGGAGCAAACAGG